RNAcentral lists this non-coding RNA (30 nucleotides) under Rattus norvegicus (Norway rat). Lineage: Eukaryota; Metazoa; Chordata; Mammalia; Rodentia; Muridae. The record is from RNAcentral.
UGGGAGAACAGGUGGCAUUCUGUGGCCAGC